UGCGACUUCAAUCCCUGCGACUGCUUUGUUCGGUGUGACCGACGGACGCGAUUCAUAGUUUUGAAGAACACCUUCUUCAAAUGUUUCCGCACGUCAGUGAGUAGCAGCGCCGCAAUCCUUUGCCGACGACGCGUUCUGUGGCCCUGGAAAAUGCCUUGACGCUCGGGGACGGCCGGUAGCUCAGCGAUUCCUCGCUUGGCGCACCAUUGAAAACCGGCGGUCAUCCAGCAGUGUACGCUGCCAGCGUAUUUUUUAUUGCCAGAGGUAGCAAACAGCAGUGCCACAACAAACAGUGGAGUGCUGACCAUGCAGUCCAGAAGGUGGCUGAGGCAAGUAUGCUAUAGGAGGUGCUUAUUCAGGCAGAAGAAAUAAGCAUCUGUAGCCAACGUAAAGGAAGCAUCUUCAAAAAGCAGUGCUACAAGGAUGUGAGCAGCAGUUUCCCUUCAACGAACGGGUCAAAUUCAUGGAAGCCACGUGCCUGCUGCUUCUGGCCUACACAAACAUGCAGCCACCAUAGUAAAGUUCUUGCA
This is a long non-coding RNA of Rhipicephalus sanguineus (brown dog tick), 530 nucleotides long. RefSeq lists it as uncharacterized. Lineage: Eukaryota; Metazoa; Arthropoda; Arachnida; Ixodida; Ixodidae. The record is from RefSeq and is a predicted model, not a curated record. The transcript has 3 exons.